This 541-nucleotide ribosomal RNA is filed under the name Bifidobacterium breve. Its description in RNAcentral is "bacterial SSU rRNA". It matches the Rfam family "Bacterial small subunit ribosomal RNA", at positions 161 to 711 of the family's 1533-position model. Lineage: Bacteria; Bacillati; Actinomycetota; Actinomycetes; Bifidobacteriales; Bifidobacteriaceae. The record is from RNAcentral.
UGGUAAUGCCGGAUGCUCCAUCACACUGCAUGGUGUGUUGGGAAAGCCUUUGCGGCAUGGGAUGGGGUCGCGUCCUAUCAGCUUGAUGGCGGGGUAACGGCCCACCAUGGCUUCGACGGGUAGCCGGCCUGAGAGGGCGACCGGCCACAUUGGGACUGAGAUACGGCCCAGACUCCUACGGGAGGCAGCAGUGGGGAAUAUUGCACAAUGGGCGCAAGCCUGAUGCAGCGACGCCGCGUGAGGGAUGGAGGCCUUCGGGUUGUAAACCUCUUUUGUUAGGGAGCAAGGCAUUUUGUGUUGAGUGUACCUUUCGAAUAAGCACCGGCUAACUACGUGCCAGCAGCCGCGGUAAUACGUAGGGUGCAAGCGUUAUCCGGAAUUAUUGGGCGUAAAGGGCUCGUAGGCGGUUCGUCGCGUCCGGUGUGAAAGUCCAUCGCUUAACGGUGGAUCCGCGCCGGGUACGGGCGGGCUUGAGUGCGGUAGGGGAGACUGGAAUUCCCGGUGUAACGGUGGAAUGUGUAGAUAUCGGAAAAGAACACCA